AUGUGCGCUUGCGUCCCGGAGUCGACACGCCUACUGAAGCGCGUGAGGCUGUAUCUGCGCCUGCCCUGGUGCCCCGGAGACGUGUGGGAAAUGGAGUUUCUAGCAAAUAUGCCCUUUCUGAGCAUCAUGGCAAAGGUGCUGGCCUUUGUCAUCAUUGUCUUCAUCUUUGAGAAAAAGGGAGAGUCUGAUGAGAUCACAGAAGAUGAAGAUGGAGGGUUUACACCAAUGAAAAGCAAUUUGUCUUUGAAAACGACAAUGACUACAUCAGAGAAAUGCCACUUGAGCAAAGAUGACUUCUGAUGAAAAACUCAGUUGGAUGUACUUUUUACUUGGGGAAAACUGUGAGUGAUAUGAUGGAAAAUGCUAUCCACAUCCAUAGAAAGAACUAUGGAGUCUGAAUGAAGAUUGAAGUAUACUAUUUUCACUUUUUUUGUUCGUUUUUGUGUUUUUUCCCUUUUGUUCUGUUUCUUCUUUCACAACACUACUAAUGUGGAAAUAUGUUUAACAUGAUUGUACAUGCAGAACCUAUAUCA
Molecule: long non-coding RNA, 533 nt
Filed under: Phascolarctos cinereus (koala)
Lineage: Eukaryota; Metazoa; Chordata; Mammalia; Diprotodontia; Phascolarctidae
Description: lncRNA (ENSPCIG00000036930.1)
Source: RNAcentral